RNAcentral lists this ribosomal RNA (453 nucleotides) under Aphanotorulus unicolor. RNAcentral describes it as "partial 16S ribosomal RNA". It matches the Rfam family "Bacterial large subunit ribosomal RNA", at positions 1936 to 2548 of the family's 2925-position model. Lineage: Eukaryota; Metazoa; Chordata; Actinopteri; Siluriformes; Loricariidae. The record is from RNAcentral.
GUAUUUUGACCGUGCAAAGGUAGCGCAAUCACUUGUCUUUUAAAUGAAGACCUGUAUGAAUGGUGGAACGAGGGCUUAACUGUCUCCCCCUUCUAGUCAAUGAAAUUGAUCUACCCGUGCAGAAGCGGGUAUAAUAAUACAAGACGAGAAGACCCUUUGGAGCUUAAGACAAAAAACCAACUAUGUCAAAAGUCCUAAAAAAGACUAAACUAAAUAAUACUGGUUUUAAUCUUCGGUUGGGGUGACCACGGGAGAAAACAAAGCUCCCAUGCGGACUGGGGUAAUCCCCUAAAACUAAGAGAGACAUCUCUAAGACGCAGAACAUCUGACCAUAAAGAUCCGGCUACAUGCCGACCAACGGACCAAGUUACCCUAGGGAUAACAGCGCAAUCCCCUUCCAGAGUCCAUAUCGACAAGGGGGUUUACGACCUCGAUGUUGGAUCAGGACAUCCU